GUGCUCACUUCAGCAGCACUUGUACUAAAACUGCAAUGAUGCAGAGGAAGGUGAGCGUGGCCCCGGUGCAAGCAUUGUGUGCAAAUUUGCAAAGUGUUCCAUAUUUUU
Molecule: small nuclear RNA, 108 nt
Organism: Nycticebus coucang (slow loris)
Lineage: Eukaryota; Metazoa; Chordata; Mammalia; Primates; Lorisidae
Source: RefSeq, a predicted model, not a curated record